Betta splendens (Siamese fighting fish) is the source of this 791-nucleotide long non-coding RNA. RefSeq lists it as uncharacterized. Lineage: Eukaryota; Metazoa; Chordata; Actinopteri; Anabantiformes; Osphronemidae. The transcript has 3 exons. The record is from RefSeq and is a predicted model, not a curated record.
GCUGGCGCACACAUACGUGUAGUUUGGUGUGUUUGCGUGAUCCUGCGUUUGCAGCGGUUUCUCCCGCAGACACGUGACUUCGCCCGUCGGCCCCGCCGGGACCCGAGCGCGGACUCACCUCUCCACCAGUACUUCUGGCUGAUGCAGUCCCAGCAAGAGCGGGAGCCUUGACUUGAACUCCUGACCCCUCAGGUGGACGACUGGCUCAGCGCCGCCCCCUUGGAAUGAACAGGAUCAUUCUUCAUCCGGCCGAAAUGAAGACGGGGAGGAGGAAGCCGGACAAUAUAUCCCGGGACAAUAUAUUUUCUCCCCGGCCCAGGAAGGAGGCGUGCACCACAGGGACAGCGGGGCUCUGCGGACCGGAGGCCUCUGCAGGCGUGUGGCUGGCCACCGGCCACCGGCCACCGGCUCAGGGGACAGCUGUGUCGCUGUGGGGUGUUGGCCCCGUGCCCCGAGACAGCAGUUGCCAUAAACAAACAGCGCUGAAAGCCACUGGCCCGGGCCCCAGCUCUUUUCAAGACAGUGCAGCGUGUCUGCUGACCUUCAGCCACUUCACCUCGUGAAGUUCAAACGGCUUCUAACUCACUUUGGAGAGUGGAGCUGGUGACAAAGUGCAGCUGGUCCUGUCCGACUAAGGCUGAGCGGCUCCUGGACGCGGUCCUUCACAUUCUCUCUGGUACUGGGCAGAAAAACACCGUCCACACAGAAGAACCAUUUAAGUCAUUCAUGACUGAGGCAGAGAAUUCAGACAGCUUGUCAUUACUUGAAUAAAAUAAGUUGAAUGUCUCUAA